GAUGAAGAACGUAGCGAAAUGCGAUAAGUAAUGUGAAUUGCAGAAUUCAGUGAAUCAUCGAAUCUUUGAACGCACAUUGCGCCCUCUGGUAUUCCGGGGGGCAUGCCUGUUCGAGCGUCAUUACAACCCUCAAGCUUUGCUUGGUAUUGGACGUUGCCAGUUUCUGGCAGGUCUUAAAAUCAGUGGCGGUGCCAUUUGGCUUCAAGCGUAGUAAUUCUUCUCGCUUUGGAGAUCCAGGUGGUUACUUGCCAAUAACCCCCAAUUUUUUCAGGUUGACCUCGGAUCAGGUAGGGAUACCCGCUGAACUUAAGCAUAUCAAUAAGCGGAGGA
RNAcentral lists this unclassified non-coding RNA (330 nucleotides) under soil metagenome. RNAcentral describes it as "partial contains 5.8S ribosomal RNA, internal transcribed spacer 2, and large subunit ribosomal RNA". The stretch from base 1 to 120 matches the Rfam family "5.8S ribosomal RNA", at positions 35 to 154 of the family's 154-position model. The record is from RNAcentral.